CUCGUAGGCGGCCAACUAAGUCAGACGUGAAAUCCCUCGGCUUAACCGGGGAACUGCGUCUGAUACUGGAUGGCUUGAGGUUGGGAGAGGGAUGCGGAAUUCCAGGUGUAGCGGUGAAAUGCGUAGAUAUCUGGAGGAACACCGGUGGCGAAGGCGGCAUCCUGGACCGAUUCUGACGCUGAGGAGCGAAAGCCAGGGGAGCAAACG
RNAcentral lists this ribosomal RNA (207 nucleotides) under uncultured bacterium. Its description in RNAcentral is "partial 16S ribosomal RNA". It matches the Rfam family "Bacterial small subunit ribosomal RNA", at positions 568 to 774 of the family's 1533-position model. The record is from RNAcentral.